Molecule: unclassified non-coding RNA, 1606 nt
Filed under: Leishmania donovani
Lineage: Eukaryota; Euglenozoa; Kinetoplastea; Trypanosomatida; Trypanosomatidae
Description: gene:LdHU3.29.2780(CDS-product:Tob55_putative)
Source: RNAcentral
UUCAUUGCCGCAGCUUUAGGGAUUUGAAUUUGAGGUUUCCCGAAACUUGAUACGUUUCACACAUACGCACACGUACAUAAAAUGACCGACACUACGCAACAGACGGUGAACAUUUGUGAGGAUGACCUCAGUGCGGCAUUAAAAAUGCCCAUUCGCGCGCACGUGCGACUGGUGGGCAUCGAGAGGACGCACCCGGAUGUCGUGGCCAGAGAUCUAGAAACAAUCAAACGGUGCCGAACUAUGCAAGAGGCUGUUGAAGCAAUUACAGAAAUUCGCAGUCGGUGGAUCUCUGCAGGUAUUUUUCGGAACGUAAAGUAUAAUUUUGAACCCACUGCAGAUGGAGAGCGAAACGAUAUCUGUGUUCGGUUAGACGUUAUCGAAGAGAAGCCCAAAAAGAGUAUCGGUGUCUUCACCACGGACGCUUCCAUUCCAGAAAUCACGGUGGCCCUCGAGAACAUAUUGGGCGGCCGGUACUCCGUCAAAGGUAACUACAUUCCCCCCGCUUCCCGAAUUCAUUCGAUAUCGUUUUCUUUUCUUUCCAAUGUCCCACUCAUCGGCCAAAGCGCUGAAUAUUAUAUUGGAAGGAAAACGGAAAACAAAACAUACCAUCUGGCAAACUCUGAGCGCGUGGAGGAGGUAAAGGCAACUACCACAAACCGAAAAGGUAAACUUGCAUCUGAGUUUUCUGUCGGGUUACAGCGGAGGACCUUAUUAACAAAGCACAUGAAAAAUAUUCCUGUGGAGGACGCGGUCGAUUUUUCGGCGACAGAUAAAGGCUACGCCCGGCACCAGCUCACCAUGACAGACGUCGCUCACCACGCCAACCCGUUCCUCUACAAUAUGUACCCGCUUCCCAUUUAUGGGAGUCAGAUCAGCCUUUGCAAUGAAUUUGCCGGUGGCCCGAUGGGCGGUGAUUUUACAUUUCUGAAAAGUGAGUUUCAGGGAUCAAAGUACAUCCCACUUGGGCCUUUUUUUAGUCUGCAGCUAAGCGCAAAGCUCGCAGGAAUUUACCCCUUUUUCGGAAGUCGUAUUCCUCUGAAUGACCGACUAUUCCUGUCCAAUUGCCACGUUCGCGGGUUCAAGUCAGUCGGACCCUCUACAUUCGAUUGGGGAGGCAAUGCUAGUCGUUUUGCGGCAACUGGAGGCAAUGCUCUGUGGGCGACGUCACUAAGUCUGAACUUUCCGUUUCUUUUUUUUCCCAACAAUGGGAUCGCUUCAAUGCACCUUUUUGCGAACGCAGGCCAUGUGCGCAUGAUGGAGUCUCUCGAUGCACUCAAGGACGGCUACCGUUGGUUGCGGGACUGUGCAUGUUCCGUUGGUGCCGGAAUUGUAAUUACGCGGAUACCCAUCUUCGGCGUCGCACCGAGUGGACGCUUUGAACUAAACAUGUCUAUUCCUCUUGGUAUUGACAAGCAGGGUAAUAUAGUUUGCCGCAACGGUCCCAAAAGUUUGUUUGAUCGGUUCCGGUUUGGUUUGGUCUGGUCAUUCAGUUCCUCGUUCUAGGAAAAUAGUCUGCCGUUGUGCUAACGGUAUCGCACCUCUUUGCGUAUGUUUUUCGCUUCGUUUCAACGCACACAAGAGCCUUCCACUGCUCGUGAUUAACAAC